CCUACGGGCGGCUGCAGCGGGGAAUAUUGCACAAUGGGCGCAAGCCUGAUGCAGCCAUGCCGCGUGUGUGAAGAAGGCCUUCGGGUUGUAAAGCACUUUCAGCGGGGAGGAAGGCGUUAAGGUUAAUAACCUUGGCGAUUGACGUUACCCGCAGAAGAAGCACCGGCUAACUCCGUGCCAGCAGCCGCGGUAAUACGGAGGGUGCAAGCGUUAAUCGGAAUUACUGGGCGUAAAGCGCACGCAGGCGGUCUGUCAAGUCGGAUGUGAAAUCCCCGGGCUCAACCUGGGAACUGCAUUCGAAACUGGCAGGCUAGAGUCUUGUAGAGGGGGGUAGAAUUCCAGGUGUAGCGGUGAAAUGCGUAGAGAUCUGGAGGAAUACCGGUGGCGAAGGCGGCCCCCUGGACAAAGACUGACGCUCAGGUGCGAAAGCGUGGGGAGCAAACAGGAUUAGAUACCCGGGUAGUC
RNAcentral lists this ribosomal RNA (465 nucleotides) under uncultured Klebsiella sp. RNAcentral's name for it is "bacterial SSU rRNA". It matches the Rfam family "Bacterial small subunit ribosomal RNA", at positions 338 to 795 of the family's 1533-position model. Lineage: Bacteria; Pseudomonadati; Pseudomonadota; Gammaproteobacteria; Enterobacterales; Enterobacteriaceae. The record is from RNAcentral.